This 904-nucleotide ribosomal RNA is filed under the name Pseudomonas reinekei. RNAcentral's name for it is "bacterial SSU rRNA". It matches the Rfam family "Bacterial small subunit ribosomal RNA", at positions 56 to 958 of the family's 1533-position model. Lineage: Bacteria; Pseudomonadati; Pseudomonadota; Gammaproteobacteria; Pseudomonadales; Pseudomonadaceae. The record is from RNAcentral.
UGCAAGUCGAGCGGAUGACAGGAGCUUGCUCCUGAAUUCAGCGGCGGACGGGUGAGUAAUGCCUAGGAAUCUGCCUGGUAGUGGGGGACAACGUUUCGAAAGGAACGCUAAUACCGCAUACGUCCUACGGGAGAAAGCAGGGGACCUUCGGGCCUUGCGCUAUCAGAUGAGCCUAGGUCGGAUUAGCUAGUUGGUGAGGUAAUGGCUCACCAAGGCGACGAUCCGUAACUGGUCUGAGAGGAUGAUCAGUCACACUGGAACUGAGACACGGUCCAGACUCCUACGGGAGGCAGCAGUGGGGAAUAUUGGACAAUGGGCGAAAGCCUGAUCCAGCCAUGCCGCGUGUGUGAAGAAGGUCUUCGGAUUGUAAAGCACUUUAAGUUGGGAGGAAGGGUUGUAGAUUAAUACUCUGCAAUUUUGACGUUACCGACAGAAUAAGCACCGGCUAACUCUGUGCCAGCAGCCGCGGUAAUACAGAGGGUGCAAGCGUUAAUCGGAAUUACUGGGCGUAAAGCGCGCGUAGGUGGUUCGUUAAGUUGGAUGUGAAAGCCCCGGGCUCAACCUGGGAACUGCAUUCAAAACUGACGAGCUAGAGUAUGGUAGAGGGUGGUGGAAUUUCCUGUGUAGCGGUGAAAUGCGUAGAUAUAGGAAGGAACACCAGUGGCGAAGGCGACCACCUGGACUGAUACUGACACUGAGGUGCGAAAGCGUGGGGAGCAAACAGGAUUAGAUACCCUGGUAGUCCACGCCGUAAACGAUGUCAACUAGCCGUUGGGAGCCUUGAGCUCUUAGUGGCGCAGCUAACGCAUUAAGUUGACCGCCUGGGGAGUACGGCCGCAAGGUUAAAACUCAAAUGAAUUGACGGGGGCCGCACAAGCGUGGAGCAUGUGGUUAAUUCGAAGCA